Molecule: ribosomal RNA, 279 nt
Filed under: uncultured bacterium
Lineage: Bacteria
Description: partial 16S ribosomal RNA
Rfam family: Bacterial small subunit ribosomal RNA
Source: RNAcentral
UGUCAGCCGCCGCGGUAAUACGGAGGGGGUUAGCGUUGUUCGGAAUUACUGGGCGUAAAGCGCACGUAGGCGGAUUAGUAAGUUAGGGGUGAAAUCCCGGGGCUCAACCCCGGAACUGCCUCUAAUACUGCUAGUCUUGAGUAUAGGAGGGGAUAGCAGAAUUUCUGGUGUAGCGGUGAAAUGCGUAGAUAUCAGAAGGAAUACCAAUGGCGAAGGCAGCUAUCUGGACUAAUACUGACACUGAGGCACGAAAGCGUGGGGAGCGAAAGGGAUUAGAUA